RNAcentral lists this transfer RNA (72 nucleotides) under Camelus bactrianus (Bactrian camel). It matches the Rfam family "tRNA". Rfam says of the family: Transfer RNA (tRNA) molecules are approximately 80 nucleotides in length. Their secondary structure includes four short double-helical elements and three loops (D, anti-codon, and T loops). Further hydrogen bonds mediate the characteristic L-shaped molecular structure. tRNAs have two regions of fundamental functional importance: the anti-codon, which is responsible for specific mRNA codon recognition, and the 3' end, to which the tRNAs corresponding amino acid is attached (by aminoacyl-tRNA synthetases). tRNAs cope with the degeneracy of the genetic code in two manners: having more than one tRNA (with a specific anti-codon) for a particular amino acid; and 'wobble' base-pairing, i.e. permitting non-standard base-pairing at the 3rd anti-codon position. RNAcentral also lists the same sequence under 2 other names. The record is from Rfam by way of RNAcentral. Lineage: Eukaryota; Metazoa; Chordata; Mammalia; Artiodactyla; Camelidae.
GAGGGUAUAGCUCAGUGGCAGAGUGAAUGCUUAAUAAGCACAAGAUCCUGGGUUCAAUCCUCAGUACCUCCA